This 428-nucleotide ribosomal RNA is filed under the name Pseudomonas sp. ITSI21. RNAcentral's name for it is "bacterial SSU rRNA". It matches the Rfam family "Bacterial small subunit ribosomal RNA", at positions 47 to 472 of the family's 1533-position model. The record is from RNAcentral. Lineage: Bacteria; Pseudomonadati; Pseudomonadota; Gammaproteobacteria; Pseudomonadales; Pseudomonadaceae.
CCCUAACACAUCCAACUCGAACAGAAGAGAGGAGCUUGCUCCUUGAUUUAGCGGCGGACGGGUGAGUAAUGUCUAGGAAUCUGCCUGGUAGAGGGGGAUAACGUUCCGAAAGGAACGCUAAUACCGCAUAAGUCCUCCAGGAGAAAGCAGGGGACCUUCGGGCCUUGCGCCAUCAGAUGAGCCCAGAUCGGAUUAGCUAGUAGGUGAGGUAACGGCUCACCAAGGCGACGAUCCCGUAACUGGUCUGAGAGGAUGAUCAGUCACACUGGAACUGAGACACGGUCCAGACUCCUACGGGAGGCAGCAGUGGGGAAUAUUGGACAAUGGGCGCAAGCCUGAUGCCAGCCCAUGCCGCGUGGAGUGAAGAAGGUCUUCGGAUUGUAAAGCACUUUAACUUGGGAGGAAGGGGCAUUAACUUAAUACCUCAG